This is a long non-coding RNA of Xenia sp. Carnegie-2017, 432 nucleotides long. RefSeq lists it as uncharacterized. The transcript has 3 exons. Lineage: Eukaryota; Metazoa; Cnidaria; Anthozoa; Malacalcyonacea; Xeniidae. The record is from RefSeq and is a predicted model, not a curated record.
CAAAUUUGUACUCCUUUCCAUAUUUUAAAUCGUUUCACGUUUCACUAAAUUUAGGCUGGCUGCGAAUUAUCACUUUAUAGUUAUGACUUUAACUGUUUGUUAAGUAUUUUUAAGAGACAGAAUGGCAAAGUAACAAGUUGUCAAGGACUUCCAGGACUUCCAGGCAGAGAUGGGCGUGAUGGCAGAGAUGCUUCAUUGCGUGGUCCUCGUGGUAAGCAGGGAAAACCUGGUCCAGCUGGUCCACCAGGACCUAAAAGUAAAGCCACGUCAACCGGUGGAGUGGUCUAUACCAGAUGGGGAAGAAAACAUUGUCCUAAAACAACGAAAACUGUUGAGAUUUAUUCUGGUAAGAAAAUCUACGUAAUUGCGAUUCAUGAUUUAGCUACAACCAGUAUAGGUUUAAACAAGUAAAAUAAGCAUGUAUGAGCGAUA